AACGGGUGAGUAAUGCGUGACCAACCUGCCCCAUGCUCCAGAAUAGCUCUUGGAAACGGGUGGUAAUGCUGGAUGCUCCAACUUGACGCAUGUCUUGUUGGGAAAGUGUUUAGUGGCAUGGGAUGGGGUCGCGUCCUAUCAGCUUGUAGGCGGGGUAAUGGCCCACCUAGGCUUCGACGGGUAGCCGGCCUGAGAGGGCGGACGGCCACAUUGGGACUGAGAUACGGCCCAGACUCCUACGGGAGCAGCAGGC
RNAcentral lists this ribosomal RNA (253 nucleotides) under uncultured Gardnerella sp. RNAcentral's name for it is "partial 16S ribosomal RNA". It matches the Rfam family "Bacterial small subunit ribosomal RNA", at positions 101 to 354 of the family's 1533-position model. Lineage: Bacteria; Bacillati; Actinomycetota; Actinomycetes; Bifidobacteriales; Bifidobacteriaceae. The record is from RNAcentral.